RNAcentral lists this long non-coding RNA (298 nucleotides) under Brassica rapa (field mustard). RNAcentral's name for it is "long non-coding RNA (BRAP_LNC003909)". The record is from RNAcentral. Lineage: Eukaryota; Viridiplantae; Streptophyta; Magnoliopsida; Brassicales; Brassicaceae.
UUGAGACCAUAACCCACACGUUUUUAGAUGGGAGGCCGAUGGUACAAGAACAGCAUUUGCGUUUGUUUCAUUUGUCGUGGCCCGCUAAUUACUGAGCUUCCAAAAUUUAAGUUUAAUUUGCCUUUUGUAUAUUUGCAAAAAAAAAAAAAUAGUCUUCCCAGAAUUUCGUAAGUUUUUUUAAAUCAAAAUUACGAAAUUAUUGCUAGUAUUCCAAAAAUGACAUUAGAACCAAAUGUACAGUCAUAUAUAAAGGUUAUCCCAAAUCAUUGCUAGUAUUUCGUUCAUCUUAAAACUACCC